This 332-nucleotide ribosomal RNA is filed under the name uncultured eukaryote. RNAcentral describes it as "partial 18S ribosomal RNA". It matches the Rfam family "Eukaryotic small subunit ribosomal RNA", at positions 1470 to 1796 of the family's 1831-position model. The record is from RNAcentral.
CCCUUAGAUGUUCUGGGCUGCACACGCGCUACACUGGCAGGUUCAGCGAGCUUCUUGCCCUGAUCUGAGAAGAAUGGGAAACCUUUUCAACACCUGCCGUGCUUGGGAUAGAUGUUUGCAAUUAUUCAUCUUCAACAAGGAUUGCCUUGUAGGCGUGCCUCAUCAGGGCACAUCGAAUACGACCCUGUAUUCUGUACACACCGCCCGUCGCUACUACCGAUUGAAUGAUUUAGUGAGGACUUCGGACUGGGACCGAUGCGGCUUUCGGGCUGCGUCGGUAUUCUGGAAAGAUGUCCAAACUGUAUCAUUUAGAGGAAGUAAAAGUCGUAACA